ACACAAUGCAAGUCGAACGGAAACGAGUUAUCUGAACCUUCGGGGAACGAUAACGGCGUCGAGCGG
This 66-nucleotide ribosomal RNA is filed under the name Vibrio sp. C617. RNAcentral describes it as "partial 16S ribosomal RNA". The record is from RNAcentral. Lineage: Bacteria; Pseudomonadati; Pseudomonadota; Gammaproteobacteria; Vibrionales; Vibrionaceae.